This 301-nucleotide ribosomal RNA is filed under the name uncultured bacterium. RNAcentral describes it as "partial 16S ribosomal RNA". It matches the Rfam family "Bacterial small subunit ribosomal RNA", at positions 509 to 807 of the family's 1533-position model. The record is from RNAcentral.
CAGUCGCCACGGUAAUACGAAGGGUGCAAGCGUUAAUCGGAAUUACUGGGCGUAAAGCGUGCGUAGGCGGUGAGUUAAGUCUGCUGUGAAAUCCCCGGGCUCAACCUGGGAAUGGCAGUGGAUACUGGCUCGCUAGAGUGUGUCAGAGGAUGGUGGAAUUCCCGGUAUAGCGGUGAAAUGCGUAGAGAUCGGGAGGAACAUCAGUGGCGAAGGCGGCCAUCUGGGACAACACUGACGCUGAGGCACGAAAGCGUGGGGAGCAAACAGGAUUAGAUACCCCCGUAGUCCCUGUCUCUUAUAC